This 506-nucleotide ribosomal RNA is filed under the name uncultured bacterium. RNAcentral describes it as "bacterial SSU rRNA". It matches the Rfam family "Bacterial small subunit ribosomal RNA", at positions 14 to 518 of the family's 1533-position model. The record is from RNAcentral.
CGAUUCUGGCUCAGGAUGAACGCUGGCGGCGUGCCUAACACAUGCAAGUCGAACGGACUUUAGAUGGAAUGAGACUUCGGUUGAAGGAAAUUAAAGUUAGUGGCGGACGGGUGAGUAACGCGUGGAGAACCUGCCCUGUACAGGGGGAUAACAACCAGAAACGGCUGCUAAAACCGCAUAAGCGCACAGUACCGCAUGGUACAGUGUAGAAAAACUCCGGUGGUACAGGAUGGCUCCGCGUUGGAUUAGCCAGUUGGCGGGGUAACGGCCCACCAAAGCGACGAUCCAUAGCCGGCCUGAGAGGGUGGACGGCCACAGUUGGGACUGAGACACGGCCCAGACUCCGUACGGGAGGCAGCAGGUGGGAAUAUUGCACAAUGGGGAAACCCUGAUGCAGCGACGCCGCGUGAAGGAAGAAGUAUCUCGGUAUGUAAACUUCUAUCAGCAGGGAAGAAAAUGACGGUACCUGACUAAGAAGCCCCGGCUAACUACGUGCCAGCAGCAGC